AAGCGACUCUCUGUCUGUUACUGACGCUGAGCUCGAAGCGUGGGGAGCAAACAGGAUUAGAUACCUGGUAGUCCACGCGUAAACGAUGAGUGCUAAGUGUUAGGGGGUUCCGCCCUUUAGUGCUGCAGCUAACGCAUUAAGCACUCCGCUGGGGAGUACGACCGCAAGGUUGAAACUCAAAGGAAUUGACGGGGGCCCGCACAAGCGGUGGAGCAUGUGGUUUAAUUCGAAGCAACGCGAAGAACCUUACCAGGUCUUGACAUCCUUUGACAACUCUAGAGAUAGAGCUUUCCCUUCGGGGACAAAGUGACAGGUGGUGCAUGGUUGUCGUCAGCUCGUGUCGUGAGAUGUUGGGUUAAGUCCCGCAACGAGCGCAACCCUUAUUGUUAGUUGCCAUCAUUCAGUUGGGCACUCUAGCGAAACUGCCGGUGACAAACCGGAGGAAGGUGGGGAUGACGUCAAAUCAUCAUGCCCCUUAUGACCUGGGCUACACACGUGCUACAAUGGACAGUACAAUGAGCAGCGACACGGCGACGUGAAGCGAAUCUCAUAAAGCUGUUCUCAGUUCGGAUUGUAGGCUGCAACUCGCCUACAUGAAGCCGGAAUCGCUAGUAAUCGCGGAUCAGCACGCCGCGGUGAAUACGUUCCCGGGCCUUGUACACACCGCCCGUCACACCACGAAAGUUUGUAACACCCAAAGUCGGUGAGGUAACCUUCGGGAGCCAGCCGCCUAAGGUGGGAUAGAUGAUUGGGGUGAAGUCGUAACAAGGUAACCA
Molecule: ribosomal RNA, 776 nt
Filed under: uncultured Vagococcus sp.
Lineage: Bacteria; Bacillati; Bacillota; Bacilli; Lactobacillales; Enterococcaceae
Description: bacterial SSU rRNA
Rfam family: Bacterial small subunit ribosomal RNA
Source: RNAcentral